AUGAGGUUUGCAGAGGAAAUGCACUUUGCUUUCAUUCAACACUUUGGAUGGAGUUGUUUAAUCGCACCAAAGGGUGAGGAGAAAGGAGAGCAAUCCCUUGCUGUCUACACACAAAAGAAGCCCUCCAGCCACCAUGCUGAGGUGCAGCCUGCCCAGGGAACGGCCGCCCAACGGGCAGCGGGGACUCCUCGUGGAAGCAAAUCCCAAAGGCAAUGGGAUAUGUGGGGAAAUAUUUGGCAGGGUACCUGCACUGUGGUUCUCCUCCAUAGAAUGGUUUGUCACCUUCUGCAGCCUUGGACUGCCUUUUCUUCAUCUCCUUGGAUUUGGGAAACUUGCCUAGCAACACUUUGUUCUGACUUCAUGGGUAACCAGUGUGGCACAAGACUUUUCUGGGAGCCCUCAAACUGA
This 408-nucleotide long non-coding RNA is filed under the name Phasianus colchicus (ring-necked pheasant). RNAcentral's name for it is "lncRNA (ENSPCLG00000008177.1)". The record is from RNAcentral. Lineage: Eukaryota; Metazoa; Chordata; Aves; Galliformes; Phasianidae.